UAUUAUACUAAUAAGUAAUUGUAACUUUUAAUUAUUAAUAGAUAUAAUCUUUAAAUUUGAAGAAUUUGGCGGUGGUUUAGUCUUGUUAGAGGAACCUGUUUUUGGAUCGAUAAACCACGUAAAAUUUUACUUGUUUUAUUAGUUUGUAUACCGUCAUUAUUAGAUAAUUUUUAAAAAAUUAAUUAUUAAAAUUUUUAGUAUGAAAAUUAAAUUAGAUCAAGGUGCAGCUUAUAGAUAAGUUAAAAUGGGUUACAAUAAGAUUUACUUAAAUGGAGUAAUAAAAGGAAGCUAUAUUAUGAAGGCGGAUUUAAUUGUAAUAUAAAUUUAAUAAGUUUAAAAAAUAUAAGCUCUAAAUCAU
RNAcentral lists this ribosomal RNA (358 nucleotides) under Pilodius nigrocrinitus. Its description in RNAcentral is "partial 12S ribosomal RNA". The record is from RNAcentral. Lineage: Eukaryota; Metazoa; Arthropoda; Malacostraca; Decapoda; Xanthidae.